UGCCAGCCGCCGCGGUAAUACGGAGGGGGUUAGCGUUGUUCGGAAUUACUGGGCGUAAAGCGCGCGUAGGCGGAUUGGAAAGUUAGAGGUGAAAUCCCAGGGCUCAACCCUGGAACUGCCUUUAAAACUCCCAGUCUUGAGUUCGAGAGAGGUGAGUGGAAUUCCGAGUGUAGAGGUGAAAUUCGUAGAUAUUGGGUAGAACACCGGUGGCGAAGGCGGUCACCUGGCGCAGCACUGACGCUGAGGCGCGAAAGCGUGGGGAGCAAACAGGAUUAGAUA
RNAcentral lists this ribosomal RNA (279 nucleotides) under uncultured bacterium. RNAcentral's name for it is "partial 16S ribosomal RNA". It matches the Rfam family "Bacterial small subunit ribosomal RNA", at positions 506 to 784 of the family's 1533-position model. The record is from RNAcentral.